Molecule: ribosomal RNA, 406 nt
Filed under: uncultured bacterium
Lineage: Bacteria
Description: partial 16S ribosomal RNA
Rfam family: Bacterial small subunit ribosomal RNA
Source: RNAcentral
AUUGAACGCUGGCGGCAGGCCUAACACAUGCAAGUCGAACGAGUGGCGGACGGGUGAGUAAUGUCUGGGAAACUGCCUGAUGGAGGGGGAUAACUACUGGAAACGGUAGCUAAUACCGCAUACUAUCAGCUGUGCCCAUAUGGGAUUAGCUUGUUGGUGGGGUAACGGCUCACCAAGGCGACGAUCCCUAGCUGGUCUGAGAGGAUGAGCAGCCACACUGGGAAUGAGACACGGCCCAGACUCCUACGGGAGGCAGCAGUGGGGAAUAUUGCACAAUGGGCGCAAGCCUGAUGCAGCCAUGCCGCGUGUAUGAAGAAGGCCUGAGGGUUGUAAAGUACUUUCAGCGGGGAGGCGUUACCCGCAGAAGAAGCACCGGCUAACUCCGUGCCAGCAGCCGCGGUAAUUC